RNAcentral lists this unclassified non-coding RNA (215 nucleotides) under plant metagenome. RNAcentral's name for it is "partial contains small subunit ribosomal RNA and internal transcribed spacer 1". The stretch from base 1 to 46 matches the Rfam family "Eukaryotic small subunit ribosomal RNA", at positions 1786 to 1831 of the family's 1831-position model. The record is from RNAcentral.
AAGUCGUAACAAGGUCUCCGUUGGUGAACCAGCGGAGGGAUCAUUACCGAGUUUCAACUCCCAAACCCCUGUGAACAUACCAAUCGUUGCCUCGGCGGGAGAGCCCCGGGCGUUGGCGAAAGCCUCGCACCGGUAUCAGGCGCCCGCCGGAGGACCCAAACAAACUCUUGAAUUCUAAAGUAUCUUCUGAGUAACAUAAGUUAAAUAAGUUAAAA